UACGAAGGGGGCAAGCGUUAUUCGGAAUGACUGGGCGUAAAGGGCGCGUAGGUGGAUUUGUGCGUUUGAUGUGAAAGUCCUGGGCUUAACCUAGGGAUUGCAUUAAAUACGGCAAGUCUAGAGCGUGAGAGGGGAAAAUGGAAUUGCGGGUGUAGAGGUGAAAUUCGUAGAUAUCCGCAGGAACACCAAUGGCGAAGGCAGUUUUCUGGCUCAUUGCUGACACUGAGGCGCGAAAGCGUGGGGAGCAAACAGG
RNAcentral lists this ribosomal RNA (253 nucleotides) under uncultured bacterium. RNAcentral's name for it is "partial 16S ribosomal RNA". It matches the Rfam family "Bacterial small subunit ribosomal RNA", at positions 524 to 776 of the family's 1533-position model. The record is from RNAcentral.